Molecule: long non-coding RNA, 310 nt
Filed under: Mytilus galloprovincialis (Mediterranean mussel)
Lineage: Eukaryota; Metazoa; Mollusca; Bivalvia; Mytilida; Mytilidae
Source: RNAcentral
GAAUCUGAUGUACAGUAGUUGUCGUUUGUUUAUGUAAUUUAUAUGUGUUUCUUUUUUCUCUGUUUUUUUAUAUAGAUUAGACCGUUGGUUUUCCCGUUUGAAUGGUUUUACACUAGUAAUUUUGGGGCCCUUUAUAUCUUGUUGUUCGGUGUGAGCCAAGGCUCCGUGUUGAAGACCGUACAUCGACCUCAUUGGCGGAUCCAGGAGGUGAGGGGGUUCCGGGGGUUGGAACCCCCCUUUUUUGGCAAAUCAAUGCAUUUGAAUGGGGACAUAUAGUUGGAACCCCCCUUUGUCCUGGGUUCGGAACCCC